AUGAACGCUGGCGGCGUGCCUAAUACAUGCAAGUCGAGCGAACAGAUUAGGAGCUUGCUCCUCUGACGUUAGCGGCGGACGGGUGAGUAACACGUUGAUAACCUACCUAUAAGACUGGGAUAACUUCGGGAAACCGGAGCUAAUACCGGAUAAUAUAUUUAACCGCAUGGUUCAAUAGUGAAAGACGGUUUUGCUUUCACUUAUAGAUGGAUCCGCGCCGCAUUAGCUAGUUGGUAAGGUAACGGCUUACCAAGGCAACGAUGCGUAGCCGACCUGAGAGGGUGAUCGGCCACACUGGAACUGAGACACGGUCCAGACUCCUACGGGAGGCAGCAGUAGGGAAUCUUCCGCAAUGGGCGAAAGCCUGACGGAGCAACGCCGCGUGAGUGAUGAAGGUCUUCGGAUCGUAAAACUCUGUUAUUAGGGAAGAACAAAUGUGUAAGUAACUAUGCACGUCUUGACGGUACCUAAUCAGAAAGCCACGGCUAACUACGUG
RNAcentral lists this ribosomal RNA (496 nucleotides) under uncultured bacterium. RNAcentral describes it as "partial 16S ribosomal RNA". It matches the Rfam family "Bacterial small subunit ribosomal RNA", at positions 29 to 507 of the family's 1533-position model. The record is from RNAcentral.